AUGAAUUUGAGAUAAGCUUAUAUCUGAACUUUGGAAAGUGGUGGAAUGUCAAAUUCCAAACUAAAUAAGUUACUUUAUUAAGUGAAUUUCAAUUCCUUUAAAAUGAAGGGAUCCAAACGCCCCGUGAUGAAAUAAUCGUUGAGGUUGCUGAUAGUUAUCUAGCCGCCCCACGUCUACUCUCCCUGGGUUUUGCGCGCCCCAUUGAAGCCCGCUCCUCCACCGACCAACUUUCUGCUGAUUGUGCUCCCCUUGAGCUCCCCCGUGGUGCUCAACCACUGUCUGCCCCUACGCUAUUACCCCUUCCCAACUCCAUGUGUGUUGGCCGUUACGAUAGGGGUAACUCUGCAAGGAUUACUCAAUGCCUCCCAACUACUCCUCCUGGUUCUGUGUUAUCCAUCUCUGAGCUCUACAAAGAUUCCUAUUCAACCGCAGUGGUGAAUGUUAAUGUUGGUGAGGGCGAUCAGAGUGUUAAGUGUGCUGCCACAAGAUCGUGUUUCUCUUCUCCAUCUGCCACGAACUCCACCCUACCCCCUAUUGUUGAGGCCUACCUACCUGCAGAUUCUUAUGCCAUAAUGUCUCCCCCUCCCAGCUUCUCUCCGCAAGGAUAUAAAGAAAGGGCAGUCAGGUGUAGGCGUUGCCGAGGGUUGUGCCAUCGUAGUUUCGACUGCCCCCUUGCUUGUCGUUGCCAAGCCAUGGCUGAUGAUGGAACUCCAAUCCUCUCUCUGUCGCACCCAUCGGCCCUCAUUGUCAUGUCUGUUUUGAUGUCCCUCCUCAAGAAGCUCCUCCACGUCCACCCUCCAUUGUCUCCAGCACUGGCAGCAACACUCCGACCCCUGGAGUGUAGAAGGGAGUUUGUUGAGGUCCACAUCGACGACGUUGAAUAUGUGGUCAGUAAAGCUUUAGCAUA
This 907-nucleotide unclassified non-coding RNA is filed under the name Zea mays. RNAcentral describes it as "misc RNA Zm00001eb040200". The record is from RNAcentral. Lineage: Eukaryota; Viridiplantae; Streptophyta; Magnoliopsida; Poales; Poaceae.